UACGUAGGGGGCGAGCGUUGUCCGGAAUCAUUGGGCGUAAAGAGCUCGUAGGCGGUUACAGUAAGUCAGGUGUGAAAAGCUCCGAGCUCAACUCGGAGAGGCCACCUGAUACUGCUGCGACUAGAAUCCAGUAGGGGAGUGUGGAACUCCUGGUGUAGCGGUGAAAUGACGCAGAUAUCAGGAAGAACACCAGCGGCGAAGGCGGCACCUCUGGGCUGGAAUUGACGCUGAGGAAGCGAAAGGUGUGGGUAGGCAAAACAGGG
RNAcentral lists this ribosomal RNA (263 nucleotides) under uncultured bacterium. RNAcentral describes it as "partial 16S ribosomal RNA". It matches the Rfam family "Bacterial small subunit ribosomal RNA", at positions 524 to 777 of the family's 1533-position model. The record is from RNAcentral.